UUGACAGAAUCAAACGAUAAUGAUUAUCAUUACUUCACCAAAUGACGACGGUCGUAUCAUUUGGUCUCUCUCAUCAGGAGCUUUCAGCUCUUUUUAUGCCCCGCCUCUGGCGGGGCUUUUUUAU
Molecule: small RNA, 124 nt
Filed under: Marinobacter subterrani
Lineage: Bacteria; Pseudomonadati; Pseudomonadota; Gammaproteobacteria; Pseudomonadales; Marinobacteraceae
Description: PrrF RNA
Source: RNAcentral